RNAcentral lists this ribosomal RNA (483 nucleotides) under uncultured bacterium. RNAcentral's name for it is "partial 16S ribosomal RNA". It matches the Rfam family "Bacterial small subunit ribosomal RNA", at positions 28 to 523 of the family's 1533-position model. The record is from RNAcentral.
GACGAACGCUGGCGGCGUGCUUAACACAUGCAAGUCGAACGAUGAAGCCGGAGCUUGCUCCGGUGGAUUAGUGGCGAACGGGUGAGUAACACGUGAGCAAUCUGCCCUUGACUCUGGGAUAACUGCGGGAAACUGUAGCUAAUACCGGAUACGACACCUUGGGGCAUCCCAGGGUGUGGAAAGAAUUUCGGUCAAGGAUGAGCUCGCGGCCUAUCAGCUAGUUGGUGAGGUAAUGGCUCACCAAGGCGACGACGGGUAGCCGGCCUGAGAGGGGGACCGGCCACACGUGAACAGAGACACGGUCCAGACUCCUACGGGAGGCAGCAGUGGGGAAUAUUGCACAAUGGGCGAAAGCCUGAUGCAGCAACGCCGCGUGGGGGAUGAAGGCCUUCGGGUUGUAAACCUCUUUUAGCAGGGAAGAAGCGAAAGUGACGGUACCUGCAGAAAAAGCACCGGCUAACUACGUGCCAGCCGCCGCCGUAA